Molecule: ribosomal RNA, 394 nt
Filed under: Ascarosepion mestus
Lineage: Eukaryota; Metazoa; Mollusca; Cephalopoda; Sepiida; Sepiidae
Description: partial 12S rRNA
Source: RNAcentral
CUACUAUUCAUUAAAUUAAAUUUUUUUUUGCUUAAGUAGUAUUAUAUAUUAUUAUAAAUAUUUAUUAAUAUUGAAACUUAAAAAGCUUGGCGGUACUAUAUAUCCAUUUAGGGGAACUUGUUUAUUAAUUUGAUAAUCCUCAAUUUACACUUACUUUUUCUUGAAAUAAUUCAGUUUGUGUAUUGCUGUCGUCAGUUUAUUUUGUAAAAUUAUAAAGAACAUGAUAGUAAAAUUUACUUGUAAGUCAAGUCAAAAUACAGCUAAUGUGAAAGGUUUAAAAAUGAGCUACAAUUUAUAAUAUUUAAUUGGAUUAAAUUAUGUAAAAAUUUAUGAAUUUGGACUUAAUAGUAAUGUGUUAUUAGUGUGUUUACAUGAAUUAGGUUUUAUAGUACGU